Molecule: long non-coding RNA, 504 nt
Organism: Anarrhichthys ocellatus (wolf-eel)
Lineage: Eukaryota; Metazoa; Chordata; Actinopteri; Perciformes; Anarhichadidae
Exons: 3
Source: RefSeq, a predicted model, not a curated record
UCCGUCACCACCACCGCAUGCAGCAUGGAAGGAGAGAUGCACACUCGCUGCCUCGUUCAGCGGUUUCUUACUAACUUUAAGGCCCUGCCUCCAAAGAGAACCGAGCUGAAAGAAACCUGACCGGUGAAUAAAUAAGUCACAUGGAGGCCUGCUGCACCUGGACGAUUUGCAUGAAGGUUGAAAUGGAGAAACAAAAGUAAUUUGCCUUUAAGAUGGCCCUCCCUGGAAAAGAGAAACCGUGAGUUGAUCUGCAUCCCAAACAGAAAUGUGAAUGAAUAAAAGGAUAUGAUGGACUGGUAACACUUUGAGGAGCAUCCUAGUAACUUCCUUCACACUUUUGACAAAGCUGAAAAUAGAUGAAGCUGGUAGAGCUGAAUGUGGGGAGACUGAGGGGCGGUUGUUGCUGUUUAAGCAGUCUGGAGACUCAGGACCUCAUUGGUUUAAGAGCUGGUGAGUCCUUGCCAUGUGUUGGCAUGUGAAUAACAUGUAGCCUGUGAUGACAAA